UCUGGUGGCAAUAGCGAAGAGGUCACACCUGUUCCCAUGCCGAACACAGCAGUUAAGCUCUUCAGCGCCGAUGGUAGUUGGGGCAUUGCCCCUGUGAGAGUAGGACGUCGCCAGGC
RNAcentral lists this ribosomal RNA (116 nucleotides) under Aquibacillus koreensis. Lineage: Bacteria; Bacillati; Bacillota; Bacilli; Caryophanales; Bacillaceae. The record is from RNAcentral.